UACGAAGGGGGCGAGCGUUGUUCGGAUUUACUUGGCGUAAAGGGCGCGUAGGCGGCCCUCUUUGUUGCGUGUGAAAGCCCCGGGCUCAACCUGGGAAUUGCGCGCGAAACGGGGGGGCUUGAGUUCGGGAGAGGAGCGUGGAAUUCCCAGUGUAGAGGUGAAAUUCGUAGAUAUUGGGAAGAACACCGGUGGCGAAGGCGGCGCUCUGGACCGAGACUGACGCUGAGGCGCGAAAGCGUGGGGAGCAAACAGG
This 253-nucleotide ribosomal RNA is filed under the name uncultured bacterium. RNAcentral describes it as "partial 16S ribosomal RNA". It matches the Rfam family "Bacterial small subunit ribosomal RNA", at positions 524 to 776 of the family's 1533-position model. The record is from RNAcentral.